RNAcentral lists this ribosomal RNA (484 nucleotides) under uncultured bacterium. Its description in RNAcentral is "partial 16S ribosomal RNA". It matches the Rfam family "Bacterial small subunit ribosomal RNA", at positions 30 to 507 of the family's 1533-position model. The record is from RNAcentral.
AUUGAACGCUGGCGGCAGGCCUAACACAUGCAAGUCGAGCGGAUGAAGGGAGCUUGCUCCUGGAUUCAGCGGCGGACGGGUGAGUAAUGCCUAGGAAUCUGCCUGGUAGUGGGGGAUAACGUCCGGAAACGGGCGCUAAUACCGCAUACGUCCUGAGGGAGAAAGUGGGGGAUCUUCGGACCUCACGCUAUCAGAUGAGCCUAGGUCGGAUUAGCUAGUUGGUGGGGUAAAGGCCUACCAAGGUGACGAUCCGUAACUGGUCUGAGAGGAUGAUCAGUCACACUGGAACUGAGACACGGUCCAGACUCCUACGGGAGGCAGCAGUGGGGAAUAUUGGACAAUGGGCGAAAGCCUGAUCCAGCCAUGCCGUGUGUGUGAAGAAGGUCUUCGGAUUGUAAAGCACUUUAAGUUGGGAGGAAGGGCAGUAAGUUAAUACCUUGCUGUUUUGACGUUACCAACAGAAUAAGCACCGGCUAACUUCGUG